RNAcentral lists this ribosomal RNA (497 nucleotides) under uncultured bacterium. Its description in RNAcentral is "partial 16S ribosomal RNA". It matches the Rfam family "Bacterial small subunit ribosomal RNA", at positions 28 to 507 of the family's 1533-position model. The record is from RNAcentral.
GAUGAACGCUGGCGGCGUGCCUAAUACAUGCAAGUCGAGCGAACAGACGAGGAGCUUGCUCCUCUGACGUUAGCGGCGGACGGGUGAGUAACACGUGGAUAACCUACCUAUAAGACUGGGAUAACUUCGGGAAACCGGAGCUAAUACCGGAUAAUAUAUUGAACCGCAUGGUUCAAUAGUGAAAGACGGUUUUGCUGUCACUUAUAGAUGGAUCCGCGCCGCAUUAGCUAGUUGGUAAGGUAACGGCUUACCAAGGCAACGAUGCGUAGCCGACCUGAGAGGGUGAUCGGCCACACGGGAACUGAGACACGGUCCAUACUCCUACGGGAGGCAGCAGUAGGGAAUCGUCCGCAAUGGGCGAAAGCCUGACGGAGCAACGCCGCGUGAGUUAUGAAGGUCUUCGGAUCGUAAAACUCUGUUAUUAGGGAAGAACAAAUGUGUAAGUAACUAUGCACGUCUUGACGGUACCUAAUCAGAAAGCCACGGCUAACUACGUG